AUGAACGCUGGCGGCGUGCCUAAUACCUGCCAGUCGAGCGAACGGACGAGAAGCUUGCUUUUCUGAUGUUAGCGGCGGACGGGUGAGUAACCCGUGGAUAACCUACCUAUAAGACUGGGAUAACUUCGGGAAACCGGAGCUAAUACCGGAUAAUAUUUUGAACCGCAUGGUUCAAAAGUGAAAGACGGUCUUGCUGUCACUUAUAGAUGGAUCCGCGCUGCAUUGGCUAGUUGGUAAGGUAACGGCUUACCAAGGCAACGAUGCAUAGCCGACCUGAGAGGGUGAUCGGCCACACUGGAACUGAGACACGGUCCAGACUCCUACGGGAGGCAGCAGUAGGGAAUCUUCCGCAAUGGGCGAAAGCCUGACGGAGCAACGCCGCGUGAGUGAUGAAGGUCUUCGGAUCGUAAAACUCUGUUAUUAGGGAAGAACAUAUGUGUAAGUAACUGUGCACAUCUUGACGGUACCUAAUCAGAAAGCCACGGCUAACUACGUG
This 496-nucleotide ribosomal RNA is filed under the name uncultured bacterium. RNAcentral describes it as "partial 16S ribosomal RNA". It matches the Rfam family "Bacterial small subunit ribosomal RNA", at positions 29 to 507 of the family's 1533-position model. The record is from RNAcentral.